Molecule: ribosomal RNA, 427 nt
Filed under: uncultured prokaryote
Description: bacterial SSU rRNA
Rfam family: Bacterial small subunit ribosomal RNA
Source: RNAcentral
UAGGGAAUCUUGGACAAUGGGCGCAAGCCUGAUCCAGCCAUGCCGCGUGGGCGAGGAAGGUCUUCGGAUCGUAAAGCCCUUUUCUCGGGGAAGAACCGCUUCCGUAGGAAAUGACGGGAGUCUGACGGUACCCGAGGAAUAAGCAACGGCUAACUCAGGGCCAGCAGCCGCGGUAAUACGGAGGUUGCAAGCGUUGUUCGGAAUGACUGGGCGUAAAGGGAGCGCAGGCGGCUGUUUAAGUCUGGAGUGAAAGCCCGGGGCUCAACCCCGGCGGGUCUUCGGAUACUGGACAGCUAGAGUACGGAAGAGGAGAGCGGAAUUCCAGGUGUAGCGGUGAAAUGCGUAGAUAUCUGGAGGAACACCGGUGGCGAAAGCGGCUCUCUGGUCCGAUACUGACGCUCAGGCUCGAAAGCGUGGGGAGCAAACG